GCAAACUUGGUCAUUUAGAGGAAGUAAAAGUCGUAACAAGGUUUCCGUAGGUGAACCUGCGGAAGGAUCAUUAUUGAAUAAACUUGGUUUAGACUGUUGCUGGCCCUCCAGGGCAUGUGCACGCCUAUUCCGACUUUAUAACCACCUGUGCACUUCAUGUAGAUCUGAAUAUCUCUCGAGGAAAAACUCGGUUUUGAGGAUUGCAGUGCUUAUUGCCGGCUUUCCUUCAUACUUUAGAUCUAUGUUUCACUAAUACACCGUAUAAAGUAUUUGAAUGUGAUACUUAGGCAUCUGCCUGUAAACCUAAAUACAACUUUCAACAACGGAUCUCUUGGCUCUCGCAUCGAUGAAGAACGCAGC
This 360-nucleotide unclassified non-coding RNA is filed under the name uncultured fungus. RNAcentral describes it as "partial contains small subunit ribosomal RNA, internal transcribed spacer 1, and 5.8S ribosomal RNA". The stretch from base 1 to 73 matches the Rfam family "Eukaryotic small subunit ribosomal RNA", at positions 1759 to 1831 of the family's 1831-position model. Lineage: Eukaryota; Fungi. The record is from RNAcentral.